GUUAAGGAGAGCCAGCAGCAGGUGUGUUCUGCCUUUCACCCAUCUUGGCAGAGUGCUGCUUCUGUCUGUCUCUGUCUCAGUGCCUGGCUGUCCCUGGAGCAGCUUUUCCAGGGGUCCUCUUGUGUUCCAAGCUCCUCUUGCUCUGUGAGGUGGUCCUGUUCCUGGCUCGGGUGCUGGUGUGAGGCUGAGCCCUCUGCAAGGAGCCCUUCUUCCUCUGCUCUGUCCUCUGAGUCUUUUCUGAGAGCUGCUGCAGCCGAUCUGUGGAGUGACCAAGCCCCUCCAGAGUUGUGUUUUCUUGCUGUGUUGCCCAUCACGUGUUGAUCAAGGCACUGCCAACCUGUGAGACUACAGCCUGGGAGAGACACUUGAGGGUCUCCCAGUUUCUCCUGAUGUCCUUCCCCCCAUUUGUUCCAAGGAGAUGUCCCUCUUUGCCAGGGGGACAAGCUGGGCAGGGCUCUGCCUGGUGUGGGGUGUCACUCUUAACUGGGAGGGGUCCUGCACAGCAGCCCUGCUUGUCCCCUCCCUUGGUGCCUGAAUGCACCCACUGCCCCCAAGAGCCCUGAAGGAGCACAGGGGGAUGAGAGGAGAGUCCCACAGGUGCUGUAUGAGGGCUGAGGUGGAACAGGAUCAUGCCUGCACCCCCCACUCCUCUGUGGAGGUGAGGUGGGUGCCUGGCUCUUACCUGGGAGGUCAGGGUAGUGUUUCCCCAGGUCCUCAAGCAAGGAUUCGUAGCAGAUGGCUUCAGAGUUUUCUUCUCCUGGCAGCAGAAUGGGAGAAAUGGAUUAGUCUCUGUCCUGGCUGUAAACUGAAGGCCUGUAACUGGGGCAGGUGGUUCUGCCCAGGAGAAGUUCCUUCUCCCUUGGACAAACAAAGGCUCAGCUCUAGCUGUUCAUCUGAGCUGGCUUCUGCCUCCUCAGAGCUUCUGUGCUGUGUCCAAGUGGCUGCUGAGCAGAGCCCUCCCCAGAGCAGACCCUUCCUGCCCCGGGCUGCCUGCACAGGGAACUCACGGGCAGCUCUGACGAGGACGUAGCGCUGCCUUCCCUGCAGGUAUUUACUGGCACAGUCAGAUGCAGGAUCUUCUACUUUGCUCAGGUUCAUCAGGGUGCCCUUUUCAUCCACAAGAUCGAUGCAGUCUGGAGAGAGAGAGAUGUGGUGAAGGAAGCCCAGACUGUCCCUGUGGGGCCAACAUGAGCCUGAGGGGUUUAGAGGCAUUUUCCUUGGCAAGUUACACUUAGAACAGAAUCUGCUGAGAUCUGGGGAGUGGGAGGUUUGCUGUCCCUUUCCCUGUGCUUUGGGAUGUUCUGUGUAACCCGUUUGUUACCCUGUGCUGUUCCUCUGUGGGUGAGAGGCAGUCCCUUGGUGACCACAGCCCAGAGCACUCGUACCUUCAGGCCUGCACUGACACUUCCACUUCAGGUGGCCUGUGAGGGUCUGGACAGAGCAGAGCAGGUUCACCAUUUCUUGGCAGUUGGCUGCAAACAGGGAAUGAGAUCUGAGACAGGAGCAUGGUCACCCCAAACCCAAGGACCACAUGGGCAUGGCAGGUGGCUCAGAGGUGCCCACUGUGGCAUCAGCAGGGCCUUGAGCAUUACACCCAUGGCUGCUGGGAGUGGGUGCUGAGAAUGCCCCAGGUCAAGGGGAGAAGAUGAGCACUUUGAUUUGGGGAAAAUGGUUUGAUUAAUAAAGCAUGAGUAGGAAAAAGCAGUGAGCCCUGGUCCUUGCCAGUGCCCUCCUACGAGCUGGUCCCAGUCACGAGGGGCAAGAGCUGGAGAUUGUGGCUGAGUCACCCGGGGGAUAUUUUGGCCAUGAACUCUGACUGAGUUUGUCACAAUUGAGAAAUCCCCCAGGGCUGACACACGUCAGUAGUCAGAGCUGGGGAUCCAACUCAAAUAGCAGAGGGAGCAAAGGCUUAGGACUGUGUGUGUCUGAUGGCUUCAGCCACGAGUGUCUGGGGUAAGGCCAUGGCUUUCAGCCAACUGGGUAAGGUCAAGAUAGGGACUGCUCAUUCCUUCCCACAAACGCCUGCUCUCUGAAACUGAGAGCCAGGAUUUCAGUCGGGGAGCCCUUCCCACACAGCCCAGAACAGAGGAGCUCUGCUAGCAGCUGGCACUUGUGCCCCAUGGCUCUUCUGGUUGUGGCUAGAUAAGCAGGCUCCCCUCCGGUGCUUUCCCAGAGCUGCCAGGCUGGGAACUCAUCCUCACCUCCAGCCUCCCUCCCUGUGCUUAACUCAGCUCUGCUGGAGUGGUUUCCGUCCAUGAUUUGGAGUGUAGAGGUUAUAGAUCUCCCUUUUUGAAAAGCAGUGACGGUGCAGGGUGCUGCUGUGCCUGGCAGAGCUCUCCUGCCUGUUCCCUCAGCACCGGGCACCAGGUGCUGUGUCCCUCCCUCACCGUGGGGGUGACGAGGGUGGCCCAGGUGUCCGGCUGUCCCCACCUACCUCCGAAUCUGACCGUGGCGAACAUGGUGCUGCCGUGCCCCUGGCAGGGCG
Passer montanus (Eurasian tree sparrow) is the source of this 2485-nucleotide long non-coding RNA. RefSeq lists it as uncharacterized. The record is from RefSeq and is a predicted model, not a curated record. NCBI's taxonomy places the organism in Eukaryota, Metazoa, Chordata, Aves, Passeriformes, Passeridae. The transcript has 3 exons.